This 867-nucleotide ribosomal RNA is filed under the name Penicillium brevicompactum. Its description in RNAcentral is "LSU rRNA". It matches the Rfam family "Eukaryotic large subunit ribosomal RNA", at positions 36 to 918 of the family's 3401-position model. Lineage: Eukaryota; Fungi; Ascomycota; Eurotiomycetes; Eurotiales; Aspergillaceae. The record is from RNAcentral.
UAGCAUAUCAAUAAGCGGAGGAAAAGAAACCAACAGGGAUUGCCCCAGUAACGGCGAGUGAAGCGGCAAGAGCUCAAAUUUGAAAGCUGGCUCCCUUCUGGGUCCGCAUUGUAAUUUGCAGAGGAUGCUUCGGGAGCGGUCCCCAUCUAAGUGCCCUGGAACGGGACGUCAUAGAGGGUGAGAAUCCCGUAUGGGAUGGGGUGUCCGCGCCCGUGUGAAGCUCCUUCGACGAGUCGAGUUGUUUGGGAAUGCAGCUCUAAAUGGGUGGUAAAUUUCAUCUAAAGCUAAAUAUUGGCCGGAGACCGAUAGCGCACAAGUAGAGUGAUCGAAAGAUGAAAAGCACUUUGAAAAGAGAGUUAAAAAGCACGUGAAAUUGUUGAAAGGGAAGCGCUUGCGACCAGACUCGCUCGCGGGGUUCAGCCGGCAUUCGUGCCGGUGUACUUCCCCGCGAGCGGGCCAGCGUCGGUUUGGGCGGUCGGUCAAAGGCCUCUGGAAGGUAACGCCCCCUCGGGGGCGUCUUAUAGCCAGGGGUGCAAUGCGGCCUGCCCGGACCGAGGAACGCGCUUCGGCUCGGACGCUGGCAUAAUGGUCGUAAGCGACCCGUCUUGAAACACGGACCAAGGAGUCUAACAUCUACGCGAGUGUUCGGGUGUCAAACCCGUGCGCGAAGUGAAAGCGAACGGAGGUGGGAACCCGCAAGGGUGCACCAUCGACCGAUCCUGAAGUCUUCGGAUGGAUUUGAGUAAGAGCGUAGCUGUUGGGACCCGAAAGAUGGUGAACUAUGCCUGAAUAGGGCGAAGCCAGAGGAAACUCUGGUGGAGGCUCGUAGCGGUUCUGACGUGCAAAUCGAUCGUAGAAUGUGGGUAU